This is a long non-coding RNA of Aegilops tauschii subsp. strangulata, 1019 nucleotides long. RefSeq lists it as uncharacterized. The record is from RefSeq and is a predicted model, not a curated record. NCBI's taxonomy places the organism in Eukaryota, Viridiplantae, Streptophyta, Magnoliopsida, Poales, Poaceae.
AGAUCCUAAUUAGCUAUAGGAACAAUUUAUACUUUACUUAAAGAUGUUACUGUUGUGUUGUAGAAAAUUUUAUUUAUGUCUACUGUUUUGUCCAGAUUAGAAAUAUGUGUGAUGUGUGCUUUCAAAAACUAAUGCUAUAUGUAGGCUUAAGAAAUUGAGCAAGGGAAACCAUUAUAUCCCCUUCCUUGUUUUAUAAACUAAAAUUCUAUCGGAUCAUACUAUGUCAAGUAACGGUUCUGUGUUAUGGCAAAAGAAAAUAUGAUUGAAACAAUUUUGGCACAAGUCUGGUAUUCAUAUGAACCGUGAUGAGAAGUAGUACUCGUUCACUAGAGAGCUAUAAAUAUAAGUCAAAAUACCUGUGAAACAAGAUUUUAAAGGCUUCCAAUAUCUGAACAUCAAAGCUUAGCUGCUGUUGCAUUCUUUACUCUUGUCAAUUGUCUGACUGCAGAGAAACAAACACAUGAGAAAAGUUUCAGGUUGGCCACAUUGAAAGUAUAAGGAAUUUGCCACAGCUUAUUACUCCCUGUUCUGUCAUAGGAUUCUCUGUCAUUCCUCUUCUGUCGUAGGAAUUUGCCACAACUACCAUGAAUUGCCAUGUCUCUUUAUACCAGUUUUAGCGAUCAGCCGUAGCUCUUUCAUCAAAGUUGCAUGGUGCAUGGUCAACAGAGGACAAGCGCUUCAUGUCCAACCAAGGUGCAUGGUGCUCACAAUUGACGAACAGAGGCUGUUCGACAUCGGCUACACAAACCACCAUUGUGAGCUCCUCCCUUUCCUCUGCUACAACCAUGCUCUAUUAGGAUGUGGCUGGAACCAUUUGAUGGCCUUCCUGGACAUGUUUUGCUGCUAUCUAGAAUUUGUACUUGUCCCAUUUUUUGUUUCUUUGCUGGACAUGUUAUGGUUCAAGGGUUGAUGAUGUCUAGUAGAUAGUUUGAUGUAUACCUGCUGCUGAUUGAUGCUCUUGUGGUUAGCAUUAUACUCCUGGAAUCAUAUUAUACUAUAUCUAGUGUUCUUGUGGUUCU